This 463-nucleotide ribosomal RNA is filed under the name Anodonthyla theoi. Its description in RNAcentral is "partial 16S ribosomal RNA". It matches the Rfam family "Bacterial large subunit ribosomal RNA", at positions 1930 to 2566 of the family's 2925-position model. The record is from RNAcentral. Lineage: Eukaryota; Metazoa; Chordata; Amphibia; Anura; Microhylidae.
GCCGCGGUACCCUAACCGUGCAAAGGUAGCAUAAUCACUUGUUCUCUAAAUCAGGACUAGUAUGAACGGCCCCACGAGAGCUGUACUGUCUCCCCCCCUCAAUCAGUGAAACUGAUCCCCCCGUGAAGAAGCGGGGACAUCCCCAUAAGACGAGAAGACCCCAUGGAGCUUUAAACUUACACCACUGCUUUCCCCCACCAAAUAAUUUAUGCAAUAUGGUACUAAGUCUUUCGGCUGGGGCGACCGCGGAGAAAAACAAAACCUCCAUGAUGAAAGGACACCCUAAUUAAAGAGCUACUGCUCUAAAAAUCAACAAAUUGACAUAAAUUGACCCAAAUUUUUUUGAUCAACGAACCUAGUUACCCUGGGGAUAACAGCGCAAUCCAUUUCGAGAGACCCCAUCAACAAAUGGGCUUACGACCUCGAUGUUGGAUCAGGGUAUCCUGGUGGGGCAGCCGCUACC